GGUUGACCUCAGAUCA
This 16-nucleotide ribosomal RNA is filed under the name Dactylella bolusanthi. Its description in RNAcentral is "partial 28S ribosomal RNA". Lineage: Eukaryota; Fungi; Ascomycota; Orbiliomycetes; Orbiliales; Orbiliaceae. The record is from RNAcentral.